CCUACGGGAGGCAGCAGUGAGGAAUAUUGGUCAAUGGGCGAGAGCCUGAACCAGCCAAGUCGCGUGAGGGAGUACUGCCCUAUGGGUUGUAAACCUCUUUUGUCGGGGAGCAAAAGCCGGACGUGUCCGGCUGUGAGGGUACCCGAAGAAAAAGCAUCGGCUAACUCCGUGCCAGCAGCCGCGGUAAUACGGAGGAUGCGAGCGUUAUCCGGAUUUAUUGGGUUUAAAGGGUGCGCAGGCGGAUUUUUAAGUCAGCGGUAAAAUCGUGGGGCUCAACCCCAUCCAGCCGUUGAAACUGGGGAUCUAGAGUGUGCGAGAGGUAUGCGGAAUGCGUGGUGUAGCGGUGAAAUGCAUAGAUAUCACGCAGAACCCCGAUUGCGAAGGCAGCAUACCGGUGCACAACUGACGCUCAGGCACGAAAGCGUGGGUAUCGAACAGGAUUAGAUACCCCUGUAGUC
This 458-nucleotide ribosomal RNA is filed under the name uncultured bacterium. RNAcentral's name for it is "partial 16S ribosomal RNA". It matches the Rfam family "Bacterial small subunit ribosomal RNA", at positions 338 to 795 of the family's 1533-position model. The record is from RNAcentral.